UACGUAGGGUGCAAGCGUUGUCCGGAAUUAUUGGGCGUAAAGAGCUCGUAGGCGGUCUGUCGCGUCUGCUGUGAAAACUCAGGGCUUAACCCUGAGCUUGCAGUGGGUACGGGCAGACUAGAGUGCGGUAGGGGAGACUGGAAUUCCUGGUGUAGCGGUGAAAUGCGCAGAUAUCAGGAGGAACACCGGUGGGCGAAGGCGGGUCUCUGGGCCGUAACUGGACGCUGGAGGAGCGAAA
Molecule: ribosomal RNA, 238 nt
Filed under: uncultured bacterium
Lineage: Bacteria
Description: partial 16S ribosomal RNA
Rfam family: Bacterial small subunit ribosomal RNA
Source: RNAcentral